RNAcentral lists this ribosomal RNA (690 nucleotides) under Escherichia coli. RNAcentral's name for it is "partial 23S ribosomal RNA". It matches the Rfam family "Bacterial large subunit ribosomal RNA", at positions 1216 to 1890 of the family's 2925-position model. The record is from RNAcentral. Lineage: Bacteria; Pseudomonadati; Pseudomonadota; Gammaproteobacteria; Enterobacterales; Enterobacteriaceae.
AUGCGUUGUUGGGUAGGGGAGCGUUCUGUAAGCCUGUGAAGGUGUGCUGUGAGGCAUGCUGGAGGUAUCAGAAGUGCGAAUGCUGACAUAAGUAACGAUAAAGCGGGUGAAAAGCCCGCUCGCCGGAAGACCAAGGGUUCCUGUCCAACGUUAAUCGGGGCAGGGUGAGUCGACCCCUAAGGCGAGGCCGAAAGGCGUAGUCGAUGGGAAACAGGUUAAUAUUCCUGUACUUGGUGUUACUGCGAAGGGGGGACGGAGAAGGCUAUGUUGGCCGGGCGACGGUUGUCCCGGUUUAAGCGUGUAGGCUGGUUUUCCAGGCAAAUCCGGAAAAUCAAGGCUGAGGCGUGAUGACGAGGCACUACGGUGCUGAAGCAACAAAUGCCCUGCUUCCAGGAAAAGCCUCUAAGCAUCAGGUAACAUCAAAUCGUACCCCAAACCGACACAGGUGGUCAGGUAGAGAAUACCAAGGCGCUUGAGAGAACUCGGGUGAAGGAACUAGGCAAAAUGGUGCCGUAACUUCGGGAGAAGGCACGCUGAUAUGUAGGUGAAGCGACUUGCUCGUGGAGCUGAAAUCAGUCGAAGAUACCAGCUGGCUGCAACUGUUUAUUAAAAACACAGCACUGUGCAAACACGAAAGUGGACGUAUACGGUGUGACGCCUGCCCGGUGCCGGAAGGUUAAUUGAUGGGGU